Molecule: ribosomal RNA, 444 nt
Filed under: uncultured bacterium
Lineage: Bacteria
Description: SSU rRNA
Rfam family: Bacterial small subunit ribosomal RNA
Source: RNAcentral
AGAGCGAACGCUGGCGGCAGGCCUAACACAUGCAAGUCGAGCGCCGUAGCAAUACGGAGCGGCAGACGGGAGAGUAACACGUGGGAACGUACCUUUCAGUUCGGAACAACCCAGGGAAACUUGGGCUAAUACCGGAUACGCCCUUACGGGGAAAGAUUUAUCGCUGAAAGAUCGGCCCGCGUCUGAUUAGCUAGUUGGUGGGGUAACGGCCCACCAAGGCUACGAUCAGUAGCUGGUCUGAGAGGAUGAUCAGCCUCACUGGGACUGAGACACGGCCCAGACUCCUACGGGAGGCAGCAGUGGGGAAUAUUGGACAAUGGGCGCAAGCCUGAUCCAGCCAUGCCGCGUGGAUGAUGAAGGCCCUAGGGUUGUAAAGUCCUUUCGGCGGGGAAGAUAAUGACGGUACCGCAGAAGAAGCCCGGCUAACUUCGCGCCAGCAGCCGC